CCUACGGGAGGCAGCAGUGGGGAAUAUUGCACAAUGGGCGCAAGCCUGAUGCAGCCAUGCCGCGUGUGUGAAGAAGGCCUUCGGGUUGUAAAGCACUUUCAGCGGGGAGGAAGGCGGUGAGGUUAAUAACCUCAUCGAUUGACGUUACCCGCAGAAGAAGCACCGGCUAACUCCGUGCCAGCAGCCGCGGUAAUACGGAGGGUGCAAGCGUUAAUCGGAAUUACUGGGCGUAAAGCGCACGCAGGCGGUCUGUCAAGUCGGAUGUGAAAUCCCCGGGCUCAACCUGGGAACUGCAUUCGAAACUGGCAGGCUAGAGUCUUGUAGAGGGGGGUAGAAUUCCAGGUGUAGCGGUGAAAUGCGUAGAGAUCUGGAGGAAUACCGGUGGCGAAGGCGGCCCCCUGGACAAAGACUGACGCUCAGGUGCAAAAGCGUGGGGAGCAAACAGGAUUAGAUACCCUAGUAGUC
Molecule: ribosomal RNA, 465 nt
Filed under: uncultured Klebsiella sp.
Lineage: Bacteria; Pseudomonadati; Pseudomonadota; Gammaproteobacteria; Enterobacterales; Enterobacteriaceae
Description: bacterial SSU rRNA
Rfam family: Bacterial small subunit ribosomal RNA
Source: RNAcentral